Trichomycterus rosablanca is the source of this 67-nucleotide small nucleolar RNA. The record is from RefSeq and is a predicted model, not a curated record. Lineage: Eukaryota; Metazoa; Chordata; Actinopteri; Siluriformes; Trichomycteridae.
AUGGAAGUGAUGACAAGCUGUAUCUUGAUUGUCUGUGAUGUUCAAGUAUUCAUACUGUCUGAUCCAC